This 5147-nucleotide long non-coding RNA is filed under the name Brassica napus (rape). Its description in RNAcentral is "long non-coding RNA (BNAP_LNC009720)". The record is from RNAcentral. Lineage: Eukaryota; Viridiplantae; Streptophyta; Magnoliopsida; Brassicales; Brassicaceae.
CCCUUUUCCAAAUCAAAAACACACAAUUCAAUACUUGAUGAUGAGCGAAACUCACAAAAGUGGAAAGCUAACCGUCUAUUUAUGGCAGUUAUUGUAUUAGCAGUUGAAAUUUGUGUUAGGUGGAACCGGUUUGAUAUCGGUUCAAUUGUACAUACACCCUAACUGUAGAGAAAUUUCUUAAAAAAAUUCAUUACGAAAGUGACAUUUUUUUUACUGCAAAAUUUAUUAAUCGAAAUAUUUUUAGGGGUAUAACUAAUUGUGUUUUUAUAUAUGAAAUAUACAAAAUUAAUUGUUUUUUCAAUCUUUGUGCAUAAAACCAAAACUAAACUUAAAACUUGGUCUAGUUCGGUUUAGUAUUUGAGCUAACAGAGAUCUUUUCACCUACCUGGUUUUUAACACGAGUUACGGCUCCUUGGUCACGCCAAUCGAAAUCCGUCGGGAGAUCGCUAGUCGGAAGGAUCGGCGCCUUCUGAGCGUCGCUGGGAAGACGCAACUUCCGUUUCAGCCCUAGGUACUUGCGGCGGAACUCCUUCGGAGUAAGAUCUGAGAAUUGCGUCACGCCGUGGACGGCCGACGGAUCGAGCAGCUGGUGACGCCUAGCUCUCCGUAGAUUAGCCUUGAAGACACGGAAGCGGUGAUCGUGCUCCGCCUGAGUCGCGUAAGUCUUGUCGUACUUGGACUUGAAGAGAGAGAAAUGGUGCUCCGCGUUGAGUAGCUGUUCAUCGUUUUCUUCCGGGACGACUUGCCUGAUGAUCGGGUUAUCGAAACUGUCUUCUACUACCUCGCCGGUGAUGGCGACGAGCAAAGCGGCUGCUACGAGGAGGAAGAAGAUCACACGACUCAUUCUUUUUUCCCAAGAGAUAAGGAAGGAGAGACUUUGGGACAAGCUUGUUAAAUAGACUGAUAAAGAACACGUGGCGUGAGAUUAUUAGCUGUAUUGAUUGAUGUUAGCGACCACAGUGGAUGUGACACGUUGCAUGUUGCUUCUAAUAUCUUCGUCUUCGUCAGCUAUGACGAUAUUUUUGUCUACCGUAAUUUCAGCAAAAUGUUGUGAGGGUAAAUUCGUAAUUACUCUUAUCAUUCUCAAAAUUCUCUCCUCGGCGACUAGCAUCGACUCUCUCCAGUCCAAAUCGGAGGUGUGACUGAAAAUAUCUCCGGUUGUUUUUUUCAGUUAUGGAGGUGAGAUCGGAUUUACGAUCGACUUCGUUUUCUUCUCUCCUGUUCGUUUUGAUUCUCACUGUUUUAAGCGGACUCGUUUCCCGGUCUGAGUCGGCUCAGCAACCUUUCCGCCGCGAGCCGGGUCACACUCACUGGCAUCACAGCGCCUUCCUCGACGUACGAGAGAGCGUGCGAUCGGAUGUCCGCCGCAUGCUUCACUCCCGUGCCGAGGUAAAUCUCGACCUUAUAGUAUGCUAAUCAUCAUCAUCUGGAUUAACUAGAAGAAGGAAUCAUCAUGACACUCUCGUUCUUGUGGCUUCGCACGUGUGAUCAGAACUUUGUUCGUGCUUGUGGCUGUGAAUUUUGUUUACACUCAAAUGAUCUGCAUCUUUGAGGAUUUAUAUGUUAGAUUGGCUGAUUUAAGGGUGACACAUCGGGAAUGAAUUUCGCAUCUACUUUUUUCGUUUGCAGGUACCAUUUCAGGUUCCUCUAGAAGUGAAUAUAGUCCUUGUUGGUAUGAAUGGGGAUGGGGGAUACAGAUAUGCUAUGGAUCCUCACAAGUUGGAGGAGUUCUUAAGAGUUAGCUUCUCGACCCAUAGACCCUCGUGCCAAGAGACGGGAGAGCCACUUGACAUUGAACAUCGAUUGGUUUAUAAUGUGUUUCCUGUGAGUAUUUUAUUCAUCUUAAACUAAGCUAUGCGAGUUGAAAUAUUGAAAUAUUGUAUUAUUGUAUCAGUAUUGAAAUAUUGUAUUUGUCGUUUUGGAUUGUUAACAAACUAAGCUAUGCGAGUUGUGGAAUCUUAUUAUUGCUUGAGCUGUUUGGGGUUUUGCAUCUUGAGUCAGAUUGUUAUAGACUUCUGAAUUCUGAUGCAAGAUUAACUGUGUUUCCAUUAGUUUACUAUUCAAAUAUUCAUCGUUUCUUUCUGGUUUUUAGGUUGGGCAACCUGAACUAAUUGCUCUGGAGAAGACAGUGAAAGAAGCCAUGGUGUCUGCUGGGACUGCAGUAGAGGUUGCUGUGAUCUUAUCAUCUCUAAUUUAAAUCUCUAUCAUACACACUCAAACAUGUACAUAUAUAAAUAUGCUGAUGAAAUGUAAUUUUUGUGAUGUAAAGUCUACAUUUUAAUGUAUAUAAACAUUGAGCUGAAUUUUUUGUUUUUUCAUUUAGGCUGAUUUUGGAAGACACUUACCUGCCUAUGACGUAGAGGCAACCAAAGUUGAGUCCGCCUUUAACCGCCUUUACUCUUAUAUAUUUGACAUGGAAGUGGGAGCUGGAUCAGCUGGCACGGCGGAUAAACCGAUACCAAGUGCCAUAUUCGUAGUUAAUUUUGAUAAGGUAUGGCUUGCAGUGCUCUUCUUACUUCUUGAAUCUUGCAUAUAGUUUGCAGAAUGUCCAAAUGCUUUACCUGCUCUUGUUUUUGUAUGAAAGAUAUUUACUGCCUUCUUGGAUUGCUGACACUCAUAUUUCUGUUUGUUCUUGAAGAUCUUUAUUUUUGCUCACAUGUGCAUUUAUUCGGUAACUAAUUAAAUCCUGUUCCGUUAUUUAUCUGCCCCUUUAUUUCUUAAAUCAUUAUUCAGGUAAGAAUGGAUCCUCGAAAUACAGAUAUUGAUCUAGACAGCUUGAUGUUUGCAAAGCUACCAGAGCUUAGUGAUGCAGACAAGGAGAAACAGGAGGCAGAUUAUAUUUAUCGAUAUAGAUACAAUGGUGGAGGAGCAUCCCAAGUUUGGCUUGGAUCAGGCAGGUAAACUCAUCUUUGUCUUUCUUAUAGGCAGGUAAACUCAUCUUUGUCUUUCUUAUAUCUUCCCUCGUGGCAGUAAAAUAUGAAUAAAAUUACUCGGUGGGUUCUUCCUUGGUAUCCCUAUGAGUGAUAUGAUUCUGCCAUUAGAUGUGAUCAAACAGAAUUACCACUCUAUUAUGAAAGCAUUGCAUCUAUCUAGGUAUCAUCAUAUUAUGAAAAAAGAAGAUAUGUACUAUUAUUUCCUUUUUGUUGAUUAUAGAAUAGAUAGGCCAUAAAAAACUCUAGAGGAAUACAAAAAGAUUGGCACUUACUAUUACUUCAUUUCACUUUGGUAAUCAUAUAUGUAAUAACAACCGGCCUUUUUACCUGAAAUUAAUAUUCAUGAUAUUGGUAUCAUUGCUAUUUGUGUUCUUAUCUGCUAUAUUUUCCACGAAGCUCUCAAUUUAGUUUUAUUUUUAACUUAUUUUUCUCUCCUGGAUAGAUAUGUUGUCAUAGAUUUGUCUGCGGGGCCUUGUACAUACGGGAAGAUUGAAACUGAAGAGGGAAGUGUCAGUCCUAGAACAUUGCCAAGGAUACGAAACAUUAUGCUUCCAGGAGAAGUUAGCCCUGCUGGUCAUCAGUCUACCCAUGACAUUUUUUCUGGUCAGUUAGCGGCAUUAGUAGCUACUACAAUUGAGCACGUCAUAGCUCCUGAUGUCAGGUAAUAUCAUACCCGAGACAUUACUUAGUUCUAUCAAUAAAAAUAAUGCUUAGGUGAUUCAUUUUGAUUUCGACCAGGUUUGAAACAGUUGAUCUUGCGACUAGAGUGCUGGUACCUAUCAUUGUGCUCCAAAACCACAAUCGAUAUAAUAUCAUGGAAAGAGGACAAAACUACAGCAUAAAUAUUGAAGAGAUAGAAUCCGAGGUAAAGGUUUCUUGCAUUAAAUGAGUGAUGUGACGCUCUGAUCUUUUGUUUUCUUCCCUAAAUGGUGGUUUGAUCCCUGAGUCAAUGUGAUUAGUAAAAAGACAUGUUAACCAAAUUUACUGCUAUCAGAGAGUUGGCACCCAUGAUAUUUUCCAAAGUACACAAGGAUUUGACACUAUAGGUUUUCACAUGCUAACUGUCCAGAGUCUUUGCAGGUAAAGAAAAUGAUUCAUCAUGGGCAAGAAGUAGUCAUCGUUGGAGGGGCUCAUCCAUUACAUCGCCAUGAGAAGUUAGCUAUUGCUGUCUCAAAAGCCAUGCGUGGGCAUUCCCUUCAGGAAACUAAGACGGACGGAAGAUUCCAUGUGCAUACCAAAACAUACCUAGAUGGUGCUAUUCUCAAAGAAGUGAGUUUCAAUAGAUGGUGGUUUCCGUGUUAGGUUAAGCUAGGAAAUCUUGUAUUAACAGAGGAAAAUAAUAGGUCUUUAACCUUCUGUUACUGCUCCAACCAGUGAAGUCUCAUUAUUCUUAUUAACCAUUUCAGGAAAUGGAAAGGUCUACUGAUGUUCUAGCUGCUGGUUUGCUCGAUGUAUCUGACCCUGGACUUUCUAAUAAAUACUUUCUGCGCCAGGUAAAUCUUAAAAAAAUCAUAUUCAAAUUUCUUUCACAAGUUUUGUUUUUUUCUCAUGGAAAAUAUUCCAUAUUUUUUGUACUCAGAGCUGGGAAGAUGAAUCCGAAGGUUCAAAUGAUUCCAUCGUGAAACACAAACCUCUCUGGUCACCUUACAGCUCGAAACAUCAAAAGGGGAAGAAAAAGAAGGCCGUUAAGAAAAAAGGAGAUCUCUACCGAACUUACGGAACAAGAGUAAUUCCAGUGUGAGUUGAUUUAUACAAACCAGCUGCUUAGUAUAUUCAGUACACUGUCCAAGCAAGGCUCAUAUGUUAAGUGAUUAAUUUGCACUUGCAACCAAAACAGCACUUGAUAUAAAUAUAUACUCUGUAUGUAGGUUACGGCUCCUUGGUCACGCCAAUCGAAAUCCGUCGGGAGAUCGCUAGUCGGAAGGAUCGGCGCCUUCUGAGCGUCGCUGGGAAGACGCAACUUCCGUUUCAGCCCUAGGUACUUGCGGCGGAACUCCUUCGGAGUAAGAUCUGAGAAUUGCGUCACGCCGUGGACGGCCGACGGAUCGAGCAGCUGGUGACGCCUAGCUCUCCGUAGAUUAGCCUUGAAGACACGGAAGCGGUGAUCGUGCUCCGCCUGAGUCGCGUAAGUCUUGUCGUACUUGGACUUGAAGAGAGAGAAAUGGUGCUCCGCGUUGAGUAGCUGUUCAUCGUUUUCUUCCGGGACGACUUGCC